Molecule: long non-coding RNA, 951 nt
Filed under: Homo sapiens (human)
Lineage: Eukaryota; Metazoa; Chordata; Mammalia; Primates; Hominidae
Description: HSALNT0196174
Source: RNAcentral
ACAGCCUGGUUUGGGGUAGACAGUUCCGUUCCACGUUCCGGGGCGUUCCAAAGAUUCUCACCAUGCCAGAUUUCCAGCUGGACCCCACGUAGUGGAGGGGGCUUCGUGCAUGAGUAAGGAUGUGGUUGUUAUUCUGUUUCUCUGCCACGGAAUGUUCCUUCCGAGAAAGGCACUUUAAGUGGAUCAGAAAUGUUAUCUCAGAUGCUAGUUUCUCUGAGGAAGAAGCUGGUCUAGGGGGUGUGUUGGACGGAGUGUGUUGGAGAAUGACAUCUGGCACCUUUGCCUGAAUGAGGCCUCAGAACGGAUGACAAAACUCCAAAGUCAGACUAACUCUCAUCUGUUCACACUACAAUGCUAUGCUAUUUUCAAGGCCAAAAUACUGCUAUAAACUUAGUAACGCCCCCUGAACGUCCCAGAGCUGGGGAACCGGCCCCUAUUUUUGCCUACUACAUGUUUUGCGGCCCAGCAGAGUGUGAGGCGGCCAAGCCACCACACUGGUGAGUGUGGGUGCGAGGGAGGCCCCGGCCUCUGCUGGGCGGGGCUGCUCUGUGGUUUCUGGCGCAGGUGCAGCGUGAACAGGCUCGGGGGCGCUCAGAGGGGCUUCUGCAUUCUCCUGGCAGCUGCCACCGGGGUUAAGCAUGGCUAAUGAUGCUCUUUAUAACGGUCACACACCACCACUUGGGUGUUUUGCUGAUAAGAAGCCACAAUCUGGGACUCUCAGGAGCCCGGCGCACCCGGCACCCCCACCCCAGCCCCACAACAGGCAGGGGUGAUCCACACUGGGCCACACUGGGCGGAGGGUCCAGGUGGCCCUGCAGGGAAAGGGAAUGAGGCCAUGGACCAUCAUUUCCCUGGACCACAUGUGUCGCGAGGGAGGCCUGCUGCUGGCUGAGGACCCCUCUGCCCCCUGAGACCACGCCCCCUCCAUAUCCCGUGCAAACCCCAUCCAGG